Molecule: transfer RNA, 83 nt
Filed under: Actinomycetota bacterium
Lineage: Bacteria; Bacillati; Actinomycetota
Description: tRNA-Sec
Source: RNAcentral
GGCCAGUUACGCGAAGUCCGCGACAAGGUCUUCAAAACCGUUGAGGGGGUGCUGAGCCCCCUGGCGGGUUCGAUUCCCGUCCG